AUUGAACGCUGGCGGCAGGCCUAACACAUGCAAGUCGAGCGGAUGAAGGGAGCUUGCUCCUGGAUUCAGCGGCGGACGGGUGAGUAAUGCCUAGGAAUCUGCCUGGUAGUGGGGGAUAACGUCCGGAAACGGGCGCUAAUACCGCAUACGUCCUGAGGGAGAAAGUGGGGGAUCUUCGGACCUCACGCUAUCAGAUGAGCCUAGGUCGGAUUAGCUAGUUGGUGGGGUAAAGGCCUACCAAGGCGACGAUCCGUAACUGGUCUGAGAGGAUGAUCAGUCACACUGGAACUGAGACACGGUCCAGACUCCUACGGGAGGCAGCAGUGGGGAAUAUUGGACAAUGGGCGAAAGCCUGAUCCAGCCAUGCCGCGUGUGUGAAGAGGGUCUUCGGAUUGUAAAGCACUUUAAGUUGGGAGGAAGGGCAGUAAGUUAAUACCUUGCUGUUUUGACGUUACCAACACAAUAAGCACCGGCUAACUUCGUG
Molecule: ribosomal RNA, 484 nt
Filed under: uncultured bacterium
Lineage: Bacteria
Description: partial 16S ribosomal RNA
Rfam family: Bacterial small subunit ribosomal RNA
Source: RNAcentral